RNAcentral lists this ribosomal RNA (500 nucleotides) under uncultured bacterium. Its description in RNAcentral is "partial 16S ribosomal RNA". It matches the Rfam family "Bacterial small subunit ribosomal RNA", at positions 29 to 523 of the family's 1533-position model. The record is from RNAcentral.
AUUGAACGCUGGCGGAAUGCUUUACACAUGCAAGUCGAACGGCAGCACGGGGGCAACCCUGGUGGCGAGUGGCGAACGGGUGAGUAAUACAUCGGAACGUGCCCAGUCGGGGGGGAUAACGUAGCGAAAGUUACGCUAAUACCGCAUACGCUCUACGGAUGAAAGCGGGGGACCGUAACGCCUCGCGCGAUUGGAGCGGCCGAUGUCAGAUUAGGUAGUUGGGGAGGUAAAGGCUCACCAAGCCGACGAUCUGUAGCUGGGCUGAGCGGACGACCAGCCACACUGGGACUGAGACACGGCCCAGACUCCUGCGGGAGGAAGCAGCGGGGAAUUUUGGACAAUGGGCGCAAGCCUGAUCCAGCCAUUCCGCGUGCAGGAAGGAGGCCUUCGGGUUGUAAACUGCUUUUGUACGGAACGAAAAGGCUCUGGUUAAUACCUGGGGCUCAUGACGGUACCGUAAGAAUAAGCACCGGCUAACUACGUGCCAGCCGCCGCCGUAA